CCUACGGGUGGCAGCAGUGGGGAAUAUUGCACAAUGGGGGAAACCCUGAUGCAGCGACGCCGCGUGAAGGAAGAAGUAUUUCGGUAUGUAAACUUCUAUCAGCAGGGAAGAAAAUGACGGUACCUGACUAAGAAGCCCCGGCUAACUACGUGCCAGCAGCCGCGGUAAUACGUAGGGGGCAAGCGUUAUCCGGUUUUACUGGGUGGAAAGGGAGCGUAGGUGGUUUAGCAAGGCAGAAGGGAAAGCCCGGGGCUCAACUUCGGGACUGCUUUUGAAACUGUUCAACUAGAGGGCAGGAUAGGUAAGUGGACUUCCUUGUGUAGCGGUUAAAUGCGUAGAUAUUUGGAGGAACCCCAGUGGCGAAGGCGGCUUACUGGACUGUAAAUGACGCUGAGGCUCGAAAGCGUGGGGAGCAAACAGGAUUCGAUACCCCUGUAGUC
Molecule: ribosomal RNA, 440 nt
Filed under: uncultured bacterium
Lineage: Bacteria
Description: partial 16S ribosomal RNA
Rfam family: Bacterial small subunit ribosomal RNA
Source: RNAcentral